ACGGGAGGCAGCAGUGGGGAAUAUUGGACAAUGGGGGAAACCCUGAUCCAGCGACGCCGCGUGAGUGAAGAAGUAUUUCGGUAUGUAAAGCUCUAUCAGCAAGGAAGAAAAUGACGGUACUUAACUAAGAAGCCCCGGCUAACUACGUGCCAGCAGCCGCGGUAAUACGUAGGGGGCAAGCGUUAUCCAGAUUUACUGGGUGUAAAGGGAGCGUAGACGGCAUAGCAAGUCUGAAGUGAAAUGCAUGGGCUCAACUCCUGGACUGCAUUGGAAACUGUCAGUCUUGAGUGCCGGAGAGGUAAGCGGAAUUCCUAGUGUAGCGGUGAAAUGCGUAGAUAUUAGGAGGAACACCAGUGGCGAAGGCGGCUUACUGGACGGUAACUGACGUUGAGGCUCGAAAGCGUGGGGAGCAAACAGGAUUAGAUACCCUGGUA
RNAcentral lists this ribosomal RNA (434 nucleotides) under uncultured Lachnospiraceae bacterium. RNAcentral's name for it is "partial 16S ribosomal RNA". It matches the Rfam family "Bacterial small subunit ribosomal RNA", at positions 341 to 792 of the family's 1533-position model. Lineage: Bacteria; Bacillati; Bacillota; Clostridia; Lachnospirales; Lachnospiraceae. The record is from RNAcentral.